RNAcentral lists this ribosomal RNA (782 nucleotides) under uncultured beta proteobacterium. Its description in RNAcentral is "bacterial SSU rRNA". It matches the Rfam family "Bacterial small subunit ribosomal RNA", at positions 55 to 831 of the family's 1533-position model. The record is from RNAcentral. Lineage: Bacteria; Pseudomonadati; Pseudomonadota; Betaproteobacteria.
AUGCAAGUCGAACGGCAGCACGGGUGCUUGCACCUGGUGGCGAGUGGCGAACGGGUGAGUAAUACAUCGGAACGUACCUUAUCGUGGGGGAUAACGCAGCGAAAGCUGUGCUAAUACCGCAUACGCCCUGAGGGGGAAAGCGGGGGAUCGAAAGACCUCGCGCGAUUAGAGCGGCCGAUGCCUGAUUAGCUUGUUGGUGGGGUAAAAGCCCACCAAGGCGACGAUCAGUAGCUGGUCUGAGAGGACGAUCAGCCACACUGGGACUGAGACACGGCCCAGACUCCUACGGGAGGCAGCAGUGGGGAAUUUUGGACAAUGGGGGAAACCCUGAUCCAGCAAUGCCGCGUGAGUGAAGAAGGCCUUCGGGUUGUAAAGCUCUUUUGUCAGGGAAGAAACACCGGCUCUAACACAGUCCGGGAAUGACGGUACCUGAAGAAUAAGCACCGGCUAACUACGUGCCAGCAGCCGCGGUAAUACGUAGGGUGCGAGCGUUAAUCGGAAUUACUGGGCGUAAAGCGUGCGCAGGCGGUUAUACAAGACAGGCGUGAAAUCCCCGGGCUUAACCUGGGAAUGGCGCCUCUGACUGUAUAGCUAGAGUGUGUCAGAGGGGGGUAGAAUUCCACGUGUAGCAGUGAAAUGCGUAGAUAUGUGGAGGAAUACCAAUGGCGAAGGCAGCCCCCUGGGAUAACACUGACGCUCAUGCACGAAAGCGUGGGGAGCAAACAGGAUUAGAUACCCUGAUAGUCCACGCCCUAAACGAUGCUGACUAGUUGUUCGGGAUU